Mercurialis annua (annual mercury) is the source of this 1783-nucleotide long non-coding RNA. RefSeq lists it as uncharacterized. NCBI's taxonomy places the organism in Eukaryota, Viridiplantae, Streptophyta, Magnoliopsida, Malpighiales, Euphorbiaceae. The transcript is spliced from 7 exons. The record is from RefSeq and is a predicted model, not a curated record.
UUUUACAUUUUGAUUAGCAAGCAUAUUCAUAAAUCUGCAUUUGCAAUCAAUAUCUGAAAUCAAGUUGUAUGAACUUUGCAAUUCAAUUAGCAAAUCGGUAGUCAGUGAAAACAUCAUAAAAUUUGGUUUGUGAACUUCGCAAUUCAGGAGCUUCAGCUUAGUGUUAGUAUUAUUUGUUGGUUUAAUAAAAAUAGUGUUAGCGCUGAUUCUGUUCAGGUAAUAAUUGUAUUGUUGAAUUUAAAAGAAUUAAUACCUGCUAAUCUCUUGGCUGGUCCUUCUUCAUCCAUGUCCUCUUUUCUAGCACAUUGUUCUGAUUGUAAGAUAAGCUAUAAGGUGCAAUUAAUGUGAUGUUUACUUCUAAUGUUGAUUAGAUGGUGAAUUUGCCAUUGCAGACUAUAUAGUUUGUACAAGUAUCUUCAAACUUUAAUGGCCUUGGUGAUUGUUUCUUACAUAAUUGCAAGUGAAUUUUGUUGUGUUGUGCUGUAGAUUUUAGUUUGUCUUGAAAGGAUUCUGAUCUCGCGGAUAUAUGGCGAGAAAAAUGAGGAAAAUGAUUUGUUGGAUUUGUGAAAAUUCAAACUGUUUUAAUUUUAUCGAGUGUUGAUUGUGAUUAUUGUGACCUUUUUUACUCUGCUAGCAAAAAGCUAAGGAAGAUAGUUUUGUCAAGAAUGCUUCUACAAACUGAUUCGUUUUAAGUAGCAUAUAGCCAACAAGUAAAGUUGGUGUCAUUACAUUCAUCUAAAACAUUAUGUAUGCAUAUUGUUUAUGGUUUGAGAGUACGAAAUGGUGUCCUUCAAUUCAAUUAUGUUCUAACAUUCAAUUAUGUUCUAACAUUGUCCGAAAGCUUGUUUAUGGACUUUUCAGUGCCAUGAUUAUGUACCUAGUUAGUGCAGGUGAACUUUUUAAUCAAGCUAGUGGCUCUAAAACCUGUGAAGGUUGUUCAAAAAAUGAUAAUGUAAUGCUAGGAAAAUAUGAAGGAGCUGAACUGCUGAAGAUACUGCUAAUAAAGAGGAACACUAGGGUUGAAAGUAGUUCAAACGGAAUUGCAGGAAAGGUGAGUUCGAUUUCGCUGACGUUUGAGUCCAGCCAAGUGUAACAAGACGAAAACCACUUCCUGUACGCUCAGGCAUGUUUCUUGACAUGGUUACCAAGGCGGUAUAUACUCCGGAAAUGUCACAAGCAUUACAGCACAACAUUUAGAAUGGAUGUUUGAUGGCAUGGUCAAACAAAUUGCAAUCUACUUUGAUGUUCUGAACAUAGCAAAAAUUGCCAAGGCUUCUAAAGAAGUCAAUAUUGCUGAAGUUGGAGCUGACAUUGAACUGUUAUCAAAGAACUGAAUCUCUUUAUCAUUGUUGAGUUGAUUGGGGAUCAUUACAUGAAUGUAACGGCGGAGGAAAAAUUGAUCAUGAUUUAGCCUAAUUUAUUUACAAAUGACAUUUUCAGAAAAGGUACAUAGUUCCUUCGGAAAGAAAAAGAUGGGUUUAAUUUAUAUGAAUCCUACUCCGGCACCUGUGGAUGCUUUUCAGACAUUUGAUGGCAACUGACUUUGUUUGUGAGAGGCCUUUCGGUUGUGCACUUCUUUAUGAAAGAGGGGUUACGAGAGGCAAUUUGAAGAACAGAGAAGGAAGCAGUUCUUCAAUAAUUUUGAUGGAAUAUUUUCCGUUUUCUAGUUUUUGUGAAUAUUUUUGUUCGUGAUGUAAUGGAUGAAAUAUUUUUGUGAUGUAAUAGAUGAAUGUAGUAUUUUCUUGAUGUAAUGGAUGGAAUAUUUUCCGUUAUGUGAUGUAAU